GAGAGAAAGGUCUUCCUUUUUCCAUUGGUUCACCCCCCAGGUGGCUGCUACAGCCGGCGCACUGUGCUGAUCUGAAGCCAGGAGCCAGGUACUUCCUCCUGGUCUCCCAUGUGGGUGCAGGGCCCAAGGACCUGGGCCAUCCUCCACUGCACUCCUGGGCCACAGCAGAGAGCUGUCCUGGAAGCGGGGCAACCGGGACAGAAUCUGGUGCACCAACCAGGACUAGAACCUGGGGUGCCAGCGCCACAGGCGGAGGAUUAGCCUAGUUAGCUGCAGCGCCGGCCAACAUAAUAGUUCUUAAUAACUCAUAUUAUUAUCUCGUUUGUUUUCUUGGGAAAAAGGCAGGCAGAGGUAAAAUAUAUAUCUUUACUUAGAAGUGGAAAAAUGUCUGUGUAUGUGUAUGUGUGUGUUUGAUUUGGUUUUGUUUGUGAAAAAUUCCCUGGAGAAAAACAGCAAUAUAAUGUGUUCAUAAUUAUUAAAAAAUACCAUGCUUGAUAUUCCUGCUCACUAUUAUGGAUUAGAGUCUGAUCAAGGAGAGCUAACAGGUAGGCUGGUACUCUUUUUGUUAAAUUAUCCAAGCAGUGAAAUUGUGGUUCAUUACCUUCAUCAUUCUUUCCUUUGUAGAGGGAUUGGAUAUCUUAAUUUCUCAACUGGUCAAUAAUAAUGCACAGGCCAGCGCCGCGGCUCACUUGGCUAAUUCUCCACCUGCAGCGCUGGUACCCAGGGUUCUAGUUGGGUUGGGGUGCUAGAUUCUGUCCCGGUAGUUCCUCUUCCAGUCCAGCUCUCUACUGUAGCCUGGGAAGGCAGUGGAGGAUGGCCCAAGUGCUUGGGCCCUGCACCCACAGGGGAGACCAGGAGGAAGCACCUGGCUCCUGGCUUCAGAUCAGCGCAGUGCACUGGCUGUAGCGGUCAUUUGAGGGGUGAACCAAAGGAAGGAAGACCUUUCUCUCUGUCUCUCUCUCUUACUCUCUAACUCUGCCUGUCAAAAAAAAAAAAAUGAUAAUGCACAUACCUGGAGAGGCAUAAUUGAUUGAGAAUGCUGCUUGCGACUCCUCCAGGUCUUAUCAGAGUGCCUGCAUCUCUACUCGGCUUCCUGCUGAUGUUCAUGCUAGGAGGGAGCAGAUGACGGUUCCACUAGCUGUGUCCUGCUACCAUGUGGGAGAUCUAUAAUGAGUUUCUGGAUCAUGGCAUCAGCCUGUCCCAGCCCUUGUUGCUGUGGGUAUUUGGGGAUCGAACCAGUUGAUGGAGAUCUUUGUCUAUCUGUUUGUCUUUGUCUCUGUCUCUCUGCCUUUCAAUAAAUACGUUUUAAAUCUUUAAAAUAUAGUCCAUGUACCCAUUGUUGUCCAUCUUCCACAUUACAGAGGAAGGCAGCAGAAGCAUAUGUGUUCUAUGUAAAGAAGUGAGGGUAAGGGCAGAAGGCACCUGGUUCCUGGAUGAAAAAAGGCAAACCAGAAUCUUCUAGUGCAUUUCAUUAGCACUCUUCAUUCCUUACCUCUGCUACUAAGUAGUUGUGUAAAAGAAGACAAGGCAUAUACCCUAUCCAUCAGAUUUUUCUUUGAAGAAAGAUCAUAACCCUUUUGAAUUUGAGAUAUUAGGAGGUAGGUACACCCUAUAAUUUAAAGCUAUUAAGUUCAGAUAUUCAAAGUAAUUCUGGAAAUGUCUACAUUCUUUAAUCUUGUCUAGAACUGAUGGGUCCUCAAUUGCACUGAAUAUAUCAAAGAGCUUAACUUUUUUCUCCUUUUGACCAUGAUCUUUCUCCUUACAACACUCUCAACAUUCCUGUUGUUAAUGGCAAAUGCUGUCCACUUUUAAUUUAUCCUGUAUGUUCGAAGAUAAAUGCAAUACAAAAUUUUCAGCUCUCUAUAGCUAAUUUGUAGGAAAAAAUUUUUAAAUAAUCUAGAAAAAAUGAAAAAAAUAGAAAAGAUGCAGCAGUGAGUAUGGUGAGCAUAUUAAUAAAGUAGCUCCAAUGUACCUUCUUGGGAGUACACUCGUUAAAGGGUUUUUAAGUGUUUAUUUAGCAAAUACCACAAAUAUGAGGAUUUAAGUAACAAAAAAGGGAAUUUAUACCACGGCAGCCAUAACAAGCUGAAGUUAAUUCAUCAAAACUUUCACAUAAGCCUUUGUGGGCAGUUGGCCAGGCCUAGCACAUUAUCUGUUUGACUCACUGAGUCACUGCAGCUAAUGGAAUUUAGCCCCAUGUUUGUUGUUGCCAUGGCGAUGCGAUAUUCUCAGGCAUGUCAUGUUCACAGAUCAGUAGCAGCACACGGUUGCAAACACACAACUGCUCUCAGCCUUUGACCAUCCCCAGGAAUUCACUCUGCAGUGGGUCUGCCAGGAAGGAAGUCAGCUCCAGCAAGGAAAGUCAGGGCUGGGGAGGGCGACCCUUCCUUCUUCCUUUGUCAUCUCAGUGCCUUUAUCAUUAAAAUAACCUUGAAUUUUCAUGAAUUCACUCAUUCACAAACACUGUCAAAGAAGGUCCAAGAGUUCAAGAGAAUCCAGAGGGUCAAAGAGAGGACUAGUUUUAAAUCUGUGCCUAUUGAACCUGGAAAUGACAUCGUCUGUUAGUUAUAAUCUUAUUCUUACCAUAGCAAAUCAAAUCGUGCUGACUGGCACCAAUGUCCAAGGCGAUUCAGCACCAUGAAAGGUUACGGGGAGCCAAGGGGUCAUAUCCUUUGUGGCACCGCUCUGAGAAAUAGACACAGACAUGUGUGGGAAUAUUCUGCAAAGAAUAGAUUUCUCCCCAAAGUAAGAAACAAAUCCUGCUGGCAAUCUAUAAAGGGAAUGGGUAUUCUAUGCUAUAGAAAUAUUCGGAUUUCAAAGCAAAGGUAUAAUUAGGAGGCUUUCAAGAUCUAAAAUGUUUGAACAAGUCACAGGUAUUGUGCAAGAUGUUCUAAUUUGUAUGUAAGGAGUGAUAGAGGUAAGACAGGAUGAAUUUUCUGGAAAGCAUUUUUGCCAGUUGGAAAUACACUUCUAUUAAAUAAUGUAUAAUUUCUGUGAGGUGUGAAAUAUGCUAGUAAAUCAGACAAAGUUAAAAACACUUCUGUAAAUGUUUGACUAUAUAGUCCAAUACAGGGUCUAGGGUUAAUUAUAACAAAACAGCUUCACAAUGGCCCCCAGGAUUCUCUUUUGUGCUGUGUCUGUACUGCUGAUCCAGAUUGUGGGAAUCUGGAGAGCUCAGUAGCAGCUUACCAGGCUGCAUCAGGGACUGCAGUAGAAUUUGGUUCUAUAGAUGCAUUCUUCCUGAUUGAAACCUGAAAUCAAAACCAAGACUUCCAAAAUGAGGACACUAGUCCAGCAUUUACUGUCCUAUCGAAGAUAAGCUAGAGACAAGGGAAAGCGAGGGAGGGGGCAGGUUCUUCUUAAUUGCUUUUGUUUGGUUGCUACUGUAAUAGUUAAAGGACACAGCAUUUGCUGACUUGGCUCAGAAUUUCAGGUUUGGAUGACCAUGUAUUCCUGAAGUUCUCUGAAUUUAGCUUAGAGAACAAGCCUGUGGGAAGGUGGCCUUUGUUACUCAUUCUGUGGUCCAGGAUGAUAUAAUGAAAUAAAGAUGUGUUCUCUGCCAUUCUCAGACAUACAGCACACGAAAGAGGUAAUAGUCAUCCCUCAGUAUCUGAGGGGGAUUGAUUCCAGGACCCCUACAGAAACCCAAGUCAACAGAUGCUCAAGUCCACUAUGUAAAUGGUAUAUUUUCAUAUAACUUAGGCAUACCCUCCCAUUUUGUUUAAACCAUCUCUAGAGUACUUAUAAUAUACUGUAAAGAACAUGUAAAUAGCUGUUUAGGGAAUAACAAGAAAAAUCUGUACAUGUUCAGUACAGACAUAAUUUUCCUCUGAGUAUUUUUGAUGUAACCACAAUAUUGAAAUAGCAGUUAUUCCAUUGUCAAUAUCAUUAUUUGAGCUUGAGAAAAGUGGCACUGAAUGACUCACUUGGAGAAUGAACAUGCAACUUUAUCAAAUACAGGGCUAUCAAAAAUGACUCAAUAGAGUUCCUUCCAGAAAUUUAGAAAACAACACCUCAUAACCCUAGGAAUACCCAAUCAUACUCUGCUGUGGACAAAAAAAAAAAAAAAAAAAAACUCUUGGAUAACUUUUUCACACAUAGUAUGGUUAUUUAAUGUAGCCUUAAUAAUAACUAAUACAUAACGCAGAGUUGUCAUUAUGUAUUAAGUUGACUUGUGAUAAAUGGUAAAACGUAGGUUAGCAUUGAUAUUACUUUCACAGUGUUCUUUAAUUAGACAAUCGUGAGCCUUUGAAAUAUUUGGAAAUGCCCCCAAAGAAAGAGCCACAAGAGAAGGAAAUGAAAGAUGGCAGGGUAAAACAUUUUCAAGUGGUCUAAUGGGCUUCUAGUUUGCCCAUUGGUUGGAAGAUACAAGACAGAGUACUAAUGAGAAAAAAGACCAAGAGAGCCACCCAUGCAAAGCUCACCCACAUAGGAGCUCAAAGGAAACUGAACCACCCAGACAUGCUACCUGCUUGAUCCAUGUCAGGAAAGGGUGUUAAGGCACAGAAGGUUGCAUUAAGCAGCCCCAUGUACUGAGUUCCUAAGAUUACAAUUCACAAAGUCACAAAUAAUGAAACAAAGAAACAAGUUUUGUUUUUUACUGUUCUUUAAAAAAUUUGUUUUCACUUUAUUUGGAAGGCAGAGUGACACAGAGUGAAAGAGAGAUCAAGAGAUAGAGACAGAGAGAGAGAGAAGAGAGAUCUUACAAUCUCUGGGGUUUACCAAAUGCCUGGAACAACUGGGGCUACGCCAGGCCAGGCCAAGGUCAGGAAUAUAAUUCAAUCUAAGUUUCUUAUGUGAAUGACAGGGACUUCUCAGGAGGUACAUUAGCAGGAAGCCGGAUGGGGAGUCAGAGCUGGGACUUGAACCUGGAAUGUGGGUGUCCCAAGCAGUGUCUUAACCACUGCACAAAUGUAUGCUUCCAUCCACCUUACUCUUGGACUGAAGAAGUGUCUUUUAACAGGUAGAGGAAGAAAUACUUCUAUGUACUGUGCACACAGUCGCCUGGGGUCCAAACCUCCAGAUGUUUUCAGGGAAACAUUUUCUGAUGGCUCUGUCACCUACAGUGAAGGGAACUCAGGUGCCUGUGACCACAUAACCAUAGCUGGGAGUCAUUGUACCCCAGGCUCUGUUUUCAUACCAUCUGUAGUCCUUGAAUAGCAGCCCAAUGCCCAAGUCAGGCUGUGGCUAACAGUUAUUCUGGAUCACUCAUUUCCCACCCGUAUGUUGAUGGUGGGAGGGGGACUACUGACAUUGUUAGAUCCAUACUUUUUUUUUUAAGAUUUAUGUAUUUAUUUAUUUAAAAGUUAGAGUAACAAAGGGAGAGAGAGGGAAAAGCACACACAUACACAGGCACAAAAAAAGAAAAACAGAAAGAGAAGGAGAAAGAGAGAGAGAGAGAGAGGGAGGGAGAGAGAGAGAGAGAGAGAGAGAAUCUUCCAUCUGCUGACUCACUCUCCCAAAUGCUGCAAUGGCUGGGAUGGGCUGGACCAAAGCCAGGGGCAUGGAGCUUCCUCUGGGUCUUCCAUGUGGGUGCAGGGGCUCAAGUACUUGGACUGUCCUCCAUUGCUUUCCCCAGCUCAUUAGCAGGGAGCUGGAUUGGAAGCGGAGCUUCUGGGACUCAAACCAGCACCCAUAUGGGAUGCUGGCGCUGCAAGUGGCUGCCUUACUCACCAUGCCACAGCUCCGGCACCUCUUAGAUCUGUACUUAAUGCAGGUGUGAAUUUGUUCACACAACCAUUACUCUACCUAAAUCAGUGUCAGUUAUAAAUUUUCUAGGUUCCAGUACAAAAUGAAAAUGCAGAAUCUUUUGUUUUAAAGAAACAAAAAAGCACAUUUUCUUUACUGUUAUCUUUCUCUCUCUCUCUGUAUCUCUCUCUGUCUCUCUGUCUCUCUGUCUCUCUCUCUCUCUCUCUCUCUCUUUCACGCUGCCUCCCUCUCUCCCUCCCUUCCCUCCACCUGUCACAGUGAUUUUUUUAUUUGGUGUUUAAAGCCAUGCUGCCUCAGACACAAAGAUACUUGGGUGAGAACAGAUCCUCAAAGCUACUUGGAACCCUACUAUCCAUGUGCCCAGUCCUCUGUCGGACACAAAACAGAGCAAUCACUGUGCAGAGUCACAGCAGGGGGCAGUCAAGAGCUUGUCCAAAGGAGAUGGACAGGGGCUAUAGUGGGGUCCACACAAGUGGAAGCUCCUGGCCCCAGUGUAUGUUCCAUUGUCCCAUCAAAGUCAGUGAAAACAUGAAAACACAGAUACAAAGAUAAAAUUAUUAAGAGUUUUAAGAUGGUAUUUGCAGAGCAUGAAGGCUGGUGUGUGUGUGUGUGUGUGUGUGUGAUUGGGUUAAGGGGCACUUCUGAGUGUCGUCAUUGAUUCUGCUGGGCACAGGAAGCCAAGCCCUGCCUGUAAUGAGAGUAAUUAUGCAUCAUUCUGGACUACAGAAUAUUCACAAUAUUCAGUUUCCCAUUAAAUGGAUUUGAGGUCUCUUUUGAUCCUAUCAUAUUUCCCAAUCUGUUCCUCUGUUAGUAUACACCAAAAUAAAUUUGAAGAUAUAUAUGGGGGCCGGCAAUGUCACAUAGCGGGUAAAGCCAAAGCCUGCAGUGUCAGCAUCACAUAUGGGCGCCAGUUCAAGUCUUGGCUGUUCCAAUUCCAAUCCAACUCUCUGCUAUGGCCCGGGAAAGCAGUAGAAGAUGGCCCAAGACCUUGGGCCCCUGCAUCUAUGUGGGAGACCUGGAGGAAGCUCCUGGCUCCUGGCUCCUGGCUUUGGAUCAACACAGCUCCAGCUGCUGUGGCCAACUGGGGAGUGAACCAGCAGAUGGAAAACCUCUCUCUCUCUCUCUCUCUCUCUCUCUCUCUGCCUCACUUUCUCUGUGUAACUCUGACUUUCAAAUAAAUCUUUUAAAAAAGAUAUUAAUGAUGUGCUUACAAUGGAUGGUAUAAUAUUGGAAAUAAUAAUGUUUAUAAUACUUUUUCAAGUAUUUUUAGAUGGCAUGACUAUGAUUUUUUAUUUAUUAUUGGGUGGGGGUUGGAGAGAUAUCCCCUCUGCUGUUUCACUCUCUAAAUGCCCACAAUGACUGGGAUGGGGGUAAGGUGGACCAGGCUCAAGCCAGAAGUCUGAAAUUGUACCAGCUUGCCCAUGUGUGUGACAAGAAGCCAAGUACUUGAGUCAUCUUUGCUGCCUCCCAUGCUAUGCAUUAUCAGGAUGCUGGAUCUGAAGUGAAGGCGGGACUCAAACACAAGCACUCCAAUCAGAGACACAGGCAUCUCACUUAUGCACUAGACUAAAUGCCUGCCCCCACUACAUUUUAAAAAGUACCCACUUAGAGCUUUAUGGGAUCUCCGUUGUCAGCAUUUAUGUUGCCACACAUUGUUCUUUCUCAUUUCUGUGGUUCGAAUCAAUCUCCUACUACAUUAUUUUCAAUCCCGCAAUUUUAAAAAAGUUGUCAAAAUAAUUGUUCCCUGAUAAUAUCUACUAGAAGCAUGCAUGCCCUCAUACAUAAAUUGAUACAAGCCAUUGUGGAAGCCUCUCAUAGCUGGAGUGUCAUUACACAAAUGGUAUUGCUGAGACUCACAAAGUAAAAUGAGUGAGCCCCAGAAUAAAUUCAAAAACCAUAAAAAUAAAGUGAAACCUGUUAUGCACUGCAAGUAAGAGGCAGUGUAUAUUUUCUCAGCUUAAAACCAAUUAUUUUAUUGUCCCAGGAUUUUUUUUUUUUAAUUUUCAUCUCCUUCUAAAGGUUUCCUCAUAGUCACUUAGCAGCAGCAAAUUUAUGCUCACUUUUAUCCAAUACAGGCUGCAAGUGUGCCCUUCACUCGACCCAGUCUGUUAACUUUCAAAUGCCUAAAGCCAAACCUGACAGCAGAAGGAAAUGUUUCUGGAUUGUAGCUCCAAACUGUUGGAAUAAGCCGCCUCCUACAACAAAAAGGAACAGACACAUUACCUUUUAUUUCAGGAGAUGUUACGCUUUCCUUGGAAAUGAAAAAGUUUCAGAAGAAAAUGAUGAAAAAUCAAUUUCUCUCUCUUUUUUUUUAGAUGCCGGAUUUGCAUAUUUGUGUGUGUGUGUGUGUGUGUGUAUGCUCCAUUGAAAGGUAACUACAUUAAUGUUGGCCCUAGGAUUCUUAAUCAUAUUAAAACAUUUUGUACUUUUUUGUCCUAUGUAUGAAAAACUUCCAUCUCAUUCAGAAAUACAUGAAUCUUCCCUCUGUUCUAUUAUUUUUACUUUCAAAAACUGAACAAAAUUUUGAAUAGCUACCAUGCUUCAUAAUUACUUUUAGUAUCCACAAGGUAUUCAAAGAUCUAUUUUUUUAAACUCUUAUUCUGAUAUUGAGCUCCUGGAUAAUUUGUCUCUCAUUUCUGGUUUGUGUUUUACUUUGUCCUGUGCACUGGAGAACACUACCAUUAAAAUCAAGUCACUGGCCCCACAGCAUUUGUUACUACUGUGCUAUGCCGCAGUUUACAAAGGCAAAUAAAUAAAGCCUUUUUGAAUCUCAUCUAAAUGUGGCUUAUCCAAAGAAAGGUCAAUCCCAACAUGAAGCUGAGCAGUGGACUAUGCAUCUGGUGGUACUCACAUUUUAUUCUCCCAAAUACCAACUCUCCUUUGUCUGCCUUCUACCAUUCUGGCUUACAUCCAGAAGAUAUUUGGUCUUCCUCAAUUAAAAGCAAUAACUAUGAGCCCUCUAUACGAGAUGAAAUAUAUGCACAUUAAUACUCUUCCAUUCUCCUUAUUCUCAACAUAGUGCUAGAUGUUUUUCUAGCUGUGAGCAAUAAUCAAAGACAAACAAUGACAUUGUCUCAGAUUAGAGGAAGAGCAGAAGUUAGAAGAUGCAAAGAAAUAUUCUGGAUGCCUUGUCUUAGCACAGAAACAGCUCCUAGGGCUCUCUCCACCUCUUGUUUUGACUUUUUGUUCAUGGAUUUCAGAGGAUAGACACAGGAGCUCCAAUGAUCAUCUCCUUUAUUCUCAGUUCACUAAGCAUGGCCCCAUUGCCUGCAGCCCCACAAGCCUCCUGAGGGACAGCACAGUACAAGGCUCAAGAGAUGCUGUGUCACCAAACGAUUCAGUGUCCAAACUCUUUGAGAAAGACCAAGAGCCUGUAGUUCACUUAUUGAAACUUACAAUAUUUGCUGUACUUUAAGGACGCGAUCAGAUUCUGCUAAAAAGGAACCCCAUUAGAAACGUCUGCAGGAGAGUUCCUCAGGUUAUCUGAUCAGGGAGUCUUUGUAUAAGCAGCAGCCAAAGAGCACAAUUUGGGAGAAACUCUGAUCUUUAGGUGAAGGUCAUGUGCAUUAGACGGCCAUCACCGCCCCACCCUCCACACCAGCCUCCUAUCCCCUCAGCCUUACAUUUCACCCUUCAGCCACACUGAAUUGCUGUACUCUGAUAACACGAGCUGCUGUUCUUGCAAGCAGCCUUUUCUAUGUGGAGUACCUUGUCCUCACCUGUGCACCUGGCCCUCCUACUUAGACUCACUCCAGUCAGCUUUGGUAUUCUUUGGCUAUGUUAUGGCAAGUUCUUCAGCAAAAUGUCUGGUGUUGGUGUGUGACCUUGGGCAGGUCAGGAACAGUUUGCCUCUCCACAUCUUUAGAAGAUGAAGUUAAAAAGAGCACACAGCGUGGCCAGCGCCGUGGCUCACUAGGCUAAUCCUCCACCUGUGGCGCCAGUACCCUGGAUUCUAGUCCUGGUUGGGGCACCAGAUUCUGUCCUGGUUGCUCCUCUUCCAGUCCAGCUCACUGCUGUGGCCUGGGAAGGCAGUGGAGGAUGGCCCAAGAUCUUGGGCCCUGUACCCGCAUGGGAGACCAGGAGGAAGCACCUGGCUCCUGGCUUCGGAUCGGCGCAGCACACCUGCCAUAGUGGCCAUUUUGGGGGGUGUACCAACAAAAGGAAGACCUGUCUCUCUGUCUCUCUCACUGUCUAACUCUGCCUGUCAACAAACAAACAAACAAACAAAAAAACAAAAAACACAGCUAAUGGGGCUAUGUGGAGGAUUGAAUUAGUUAGUUUACAUGGAAACUUUAAAUCAGGGUAUGACGUGUGUACUAAGAUUGUCAUGAAUUUUGCACACCCCCUGUGUGGGUCUUUAUCAAUGUACAUUACUGUAGUAUCAUUAUCUCUUAAUGCAUCUAAAUUCGCCAUCAAUUUACAUUCUACUUGUACCUUACGGCUGCAGAUUAUUCAUUAUUUUAAAUCCCUAGAACCUAACACAUAGUGGGCAAUCAAUAAAAAUUGAAUCACCAAUUUAUCAAAUAAAAAUGUAAGCUUGCAAUAUUUAAUAAUGCUAGAAAUCUCAGCUACUCACACUGAAGUGAGUUAUCUGUUUAUAAUUUGCUAAUAGUAAUACUGAUUCCAGAGGACACAUUCAAUCCACCAGCAUCUCUUUCAGAAUGUUAGUGCAAAUAUGAGGAAGCUUCUGUUGUCUUCACAAAUUGCUGGAGGAGAUAAAAAAAUACAUGAGACAAUUUCUCUGGUCUCUUUCAUCUAAAAAAGUCUGUGGUCAUAUGAUUGAUGAACCAGCACAGAGCAGAUUAGAAACGUGAAGAACAGUCAGACUCAAUUUGUAGAUGUCCUUCAACUUUCUGAUAAGACAAUAGAAGUGAUUAUUGUCUCUUAUUUAUUUGCUUCCUUAAUUGGGAGUAAUAUAUUGUAAAAGAAAAAGAACAAAUAAUAAAAUCCUUAUCUCAGUCCAUUAUCAUUUUCUGGGCUAUGAAUAUUUCUUGUCUUUUAAAAAUAUUAUUAUGCUGAAUUAUUUUCCACUUGGUGCUUUAAUCGUAAGACUAUAAGAAAUAAUUUGACCUUAACUCAGUAGAGAGAGUAUGUAAGUGUAAAAGCAAAAAUCUUUCUUAAAUGAAUUAUUUUUUGUUAGCAGAACUAACUGCUAAGGGGAGGACUGCUAAGUGGGAGCAGUUUUGUGAUUUUUCUCUCCUUUGUACAAUUUUUCCUGACCUCUCAUGUGUAAUUUAUUUUCAUAAUAUUUUAUAUUCUCCAUCUUACUAUGUUUGAUACAUUACCAAAAAAGGCCAUAUACAUAUCUAAUGCUAGUGAUUAAGAAUCAUUUAUGAAAAUUUUAGUAGAUUUAAUUAAAACAUUUAAGUGGACAACAUGUAAAUUACUAAUUUGUUUCUUUAAUGCCCAGGAGUGGGCAUUUGGUCCAGCAGUUAAGGCACUACUUGGAACACCACCAUCACAUCAGACUGCUUGGUUUCAGUCUCACCUCCACUCCUAAUUCCAGCUUCCUGGUAUUGCAGACCCCAGGAGGCAGUUUGUAAUGGCUCAGGUGGCAAGGUCCCAGACCUGGAUUGCGUCUCCGACUUCCAGCAUUGGCCCUAAGCCAUGGGCAGGUAGAAGCAUGCUUCUAUACCUCCAAUAUGCAAUAACUUAUUUGGACUAAGAAGCUCUCCGAAGUGAGGACUCGAAAAAAACAGAGUAUACUUCAGAAAGAAGCAUUACCUACAAAUUCAAGGAGCCAUGGAAAUUCCUGCAGGAUCUGUUCCAUUCAUGGAAGUCGGGAAUGGAGAGAGAGGAAACUUUUAUAAGAAGAGGAAGAGACACCAAGGAUGGUAGUGCAGAGAAGAAAGGCCAUGUGAGGACGCAAUGAGAAGACAGCCAUCCGCAAUCAAGGGAGAGCAGCUUCAAGAGGAGUGCCGCCCUGCAGACACCUGGUUCCUGGACUUGCAGCCUCCAGAACUGUAGGACAAUGGUACCUGCUGUUUAUCCCAGCCUGUGGUAUUUUGUUCUGGCAGCUAUAGAUGAUUGAGGCAGCUCCAGUAUGAAAUUAAAAGUAUCUUGGUAAUACAGAAUUUGGGAGCAAGACUCUGGUGUAUGGCUUAAAAAAUGUUCAAUGUCAGAAUUUUAGUAGUAAUGAUACUCCACACACACACAUGCACACGACUCAGAGACACACAUUCUCACCUUUAGCUGAUGCAUGAAAUCAUAUCCAUUUCCAUUCUUUCCUUUAGGGCACUGCUUUCUCAUAAUCGUUUUACUUAGACAUAAAUUAUCUUCCAAAUUAGAAAUAUCUGGCUUUCAAAAUUUAAAUAUCAAUCUCUCUAGGUGAAUUUUCUCUUCUUUUCUGCUUUAUAAGUAGGUUCAGGUGCCCCACAGAGUGUCACAUUUGUCUAGAUAAUGAAUAAAUAUCAUUUGACUAUAAAUAUGAUAUGAACCUCUUUGAAACAGAUUUCCUUGUCAAGUUAUUUGUUUUAAACAAGUCUCAUUUCAAUGACAAGAAAUGUAAAACAGGUACUGUUUCAAAUAGGCCAGAUAGACACCAUUUAUCAUAGAUUAAAAUGUAUUUAUAUUAUGGACAAAUGGAUUAUCAUUGAAGUAGAAGUGAUGGAGCGAAGUAUCUGGAAACAUUAUGACAUUGUUUUAUUUGUCAGAAAAAAAAAGCAUGCAAAUUAAAACCUCUUCGCCCCUAAAUCAAGGUUUUUUUUAAAAGGAAAUAAAUGUCCUCAACCAUCGCGACCUUAUUUGAAGAUUUCUAAUACAACAUAUUCCUUAUUUCCUUCCUUGCAUAGAGCACAAUUAUUUUCUAAAUGAAUGGCAUUGCUGAGCUGGGGAUGGCAUGUUGUGGACCUAAAAUAUCAUGACCUAUACCAGGUGUAACGUAUCUUUCGAGUCCAAAGAUUUGCCACCUGCAUCAACUUCACACCCCACCUUAAACAUGUGCUCCCUGGCUACUCCAUGGUGUCCUCAUCAAUGUGAAGUAUUUUAAGCAUUAAGAUUUUAUUUAGUUAAUGUCACAAGGAUCAGAAGCUUUUUGGGAUAAUCAGAUUCAGUAAUGACCAAUCUGGACUGGUUUUCAAAUGGUGAAAUAUUAUUAUCUUGAUAAUUCAAGCCAAUCCCUGACAAAAGAAUCUAAGAUAAUAUUUAAAAAAACAGAAGUUUCUUUUGUAUAUGUGCUUUGGCCUUUCUCAAUGUUAUAAUGUUAUAAAAUAUCCUCAUGUUGACUUACUGUACAUUGAUUUUAACAGCCAUUCUUCACAGAGCAAUAUGAAUAUCAUUGGAAACUGCAUAAUGCAAUUUUCUACCCCUGAAUGCUAUAGAAAACAGCACAUUUUAUACUGACAUGUGCCCCAUCAAUAAUAGAGUUUUUAUAUCUUAUUUGUAGCUAUUGAUCUCAGCAGCAUAAUAAAAAAUUGAUUGCACCAAAGUGUACCAUUUCUUAAAUAUAAAUUUCAGUGUCAAAUUAUUUUUAUCUAUGCUUCCCAAUUAUACAUGAAACUUACACAUUUAUAUAUGUUUGCUUCCUCAAAAUUCUACCACUGUAAAUUAGGUAGGACAAGAAUCUACUGAAUCAAUAGAAAUCAGGUCUCUCACACUAAAAUGUGAUUCUAAAAUUAAACAUGCUAGUUUCAUCUCUUCAUUAUGAAGGGAAUUAAAGUCUCAAUAUAUAGUAUCAUCUUCCUAUGCAAUUUAACAAUUUGAAAUUAGGUCUUAAAUCUUCUGAGGGUAUGAAUACACACGCAUACACACACACACACACACAUAGAAAAUAUAUGCACCCAGAAAUUCAUGCACUCAUUUGGUAGUCCACAUGAUACUCUAAACAAGGUACCUGCUCCUAGUUAUCUCUUGAGACCUUAUUAUUUUAGAAGGAAUACUCUGCUAGCAAAAUCAAUGGGUGUAAGUUCUGACAAAAAAUAAGAAGGAACGAUACUCCUCAGUGGUCAUCCCCAAGUCCAAUGUCACAGACAUGAAAUGAGUUAGGUCAGAAAUUCAGAAACCAAAACAAAAUCUACAAACAGCAAGAAAGGUUUCAGAGGAUAAAAAAAUUCACUUCUUAAGUUAAUUUUUCCUUUUUGUACUAUUUUGAAUUGAAAUUAUUAAUUAAAAAUUUCAUAGGUUUCCUUAAGAUAUGUAAAUUUGAACACAUAACUAUACUGUUUAGUGAAAUUGAUUAACAGCACAAGCAAAAUAUAUAAUAAAUAUAUAUGCACAUAAUUCUCUGGAUGAAAAACUUUUUCAGCAUUUGUAUUAAAAUAGUAAUAUUACUAUUAUGGUAAUAGUAAUAUUAAUAAUUAGGGGUAAUGUGCCUUGUAAACAUGAUAAUUAGCCUCAGACCCAUUCAUUGAUAGUAACGACUGGAAAAUUAUUUUACCCCUUCAACUUUGUCCAAGAAUUUAUAACACCCUUGAAUCAAUACCACCAAUUUAGCCGUGGAAUUUUGGAGGUGUAGAAUAUUAUUCUUUCUUAAAUAGAUAUAUUUAUUGCUUCUCAGCCUUUUGGCUAUGAUCAAGCAUAAAUAGGCACAUUUGGAUCUAAUUUACAUACCAUAAAAUCUAUUUGUUUUGAUGGUACUAUCCAAUUUCAAUAUUGCAGAAUUGUGCAACCACCACUGAAACAGUAUUUUAAAGCAUUUACACAGUCUCUAAAUAUAUCCCAUAGCUGUACCCAGCCGCUCACCUUUCUCCUAGCCUCCGACAACCACUAAAGCAGUUUCUAUCCAGGGGCUGGCGCCGUGGCUCACUUGGUUAAUCCUCCGCCUGCGGUGCCGGCAUCCCUUAUGGGCUCUGGGUUCUAGUCCCAGUUGCUCUUCUUCCAGUCCAGCUCUCUUCUGUGGCCCGGGAAGGCAGUGGAGGAUGGCCCAAGUGCUUGGGCUCCUGCACUUGCAUGGGAGACCAGGAGGAAGCACCUGGCUUCUGGCUUUGGAUCGGUGCAACGCUGGCCAUGGCGGCCAUUUGGGGAGUGAACUAACAGAAGGAAGACCUUUCUCUCUGUCUCUCUCUCUCACUGUCUAUAACUCUACCUGUCAAAUAAAAAAAAAUAGUUUCUAUCUAUAAGAUUUCCCUAUUAUGGACAUUCCGUAUAAAUGUCAUUACAUAACACGUGACCUUGGAUGUACUUCUUUCACUGAUCAUCAUCUUUUCAAGGUUCACAUUGUAGCAUGGAUCAGUACUUCAUUCCUUUUAAAUAUUUAUUUAUUUAUUUGAAAGGAAUAGUUAGAGAGAGAGAAAUCUUCCAUCUGCUGGGUCACUCCCCAGAUGGGCCAAUUCAAAGCAGGAGCCAGGAGCUUCUUUCUGGUCUUCCAUGUGGAUACAAGGGCCCUAGGACUUGGGCCAUCUACUACUGCUUUCCUAGGUCAUAGCCGAGAGCUAGAUCAGAAGUGGAGUAGCUGGGACUUGAACUGUCGCCCAAAUGGGAUGCCGGCACAGCAGGCAGUGGCUUUACCCACUACGGCACAGUGCAGAACCCCUUUUCAUUCCUUUCUGUGGAAGAUUAACACAUUGAUUAUUCAACACACCAUAUUUUGUUUAUCCAUUUGCCAAUUGGCAGAUAUUUGGGUUGUUUCCACAUCUUCAUUAUAUGAAUAAUUCUGCUGUGAAGAGCAGUGUAUGAGCUUUUGUGCGGACAUGUUUUCUCUUCUUGUGUGUGUGCAUCCGUGUGUGUGUGUAUGUGUGUGUGUGUGUUUAUGAAUGGAGUUAUUCAUUCUUAUGGUAAACCUAUGUUUAAUUUUUUGAGGAACUAAAAUUGUUUCCCAAGUUGUUGUGACAUUUUACAAUUUCACCAGCAGUGGAACAAGAUUCCAAUUUCUCUAUACUCUUGACAGCAGUUUUAUUAUUUCUGUGUUUUGCCAUACUAACCAAUGUGAAGUGGUAUGUUGUGAUUUUGAUUUACCUUGUCCUAAUGAGGUGAUGUCAAAUACCUUUUCAAGUACUUAUUGGCCAUUUGUGUGAAUGUUCCAGGUUUUUCUAUAAUUUUAAAGUUGUUAUUUUCUUUUUAUGAUAGAAUUGUAAGUUCUUUAUAUAUUUUGGACACAAGUCUCUUAUCAGAUAUAUGUUUUGAAAAUGUCUUCUUCAGCAAAUAAUGCCUACAGUCCAAAGUUCUACCACUGGGCAUAGUAAACGAAAUGGCAAUUCCACGCCAAGUGGAGCUGGAGCUUCAGCUCUACAGCACAGUUGACUACAAUAGGACUUUGGAUGAUGUGAAACAGAAGUGCGACACAGACAGCUACAGGCUGAAUUCCUGUUGUAGUAUCCCAAUUUUCAAUUUACUUAGCAGACGCUUCAGAAAACUGUCAAGUGUCAAAGUCUGUAACGUGUCGACAAAAAUCUGUGAAAAAGUGUAAGUAAAUGAAUUGUAGAGAGAAAUGUGCAGUAUUAAAGACACGGAUCUUUAGAGGGAGGCUGAAGUGCUACAGCAACUGAGUAUGAGAAAACUAGCAGAUUUGACUGAGGGGAAGUCAUAAUUGUAGCACUUUGCUAUUGACAGAUGGGGACCCAGAAGGUAGCUUGGAGUCAAAACAGAGCACCAAACACAGGAAUAACUUGUGAAAGAGUAGAUGAGAUCAAAUGCAUGUUUAUAAAAAGAUAAUUAUUUUAGAAGAGGCUCUAAAUAAAGGUUCCUCAGCUGUGAGAGUUCAAAGCAACAAUUAUUUUCAUUCUCUUAAUUUUCUGCUAGUGACAUUGAUGGUCCAGUAAAAAGCAGAAGCAUUUUACUGCUUAAUUGUACCUCGCUGUCUGCAAGAAAUGACUAUUCUGGGAAAAAGUUAAAACCAAUUAAGAAGUCACCACUACGUAUAGGUUUGGAGCUCUAUUCUCAUCAUAUAUUCCUUCAUUCAUUUCAUUAGCACCUCAUGAAUAAUCUUACAUAUCUGGAUUUUUACUAAAUAUUUGGAACAAAAAAUUACCCAUAUCCUCUCUCAGUUUAUAGUUUAGUGGAAGAGAUAAGAAAUAAAAUGAUUCCAUAUAGCACAAUUUAUAGUCCCCAAAGGCAAACUACAGAUACUGGUAAGUCAUGAGACAGUUUGGUCAAGGAAGUCAGUUGAACUAGGAGUUGAUCCCUUGCAGGUAGGAUGUGUGUCUCCCUGUGAUGAUCCUCCAAGAUCUUGAUGGAAAAAGACAAAACUUGUGCAUUCAGAGACUUGGCUGGACGAGUAUGAAAAUACUAUGAAGCAGAGUUGAGAGGAAAAUACUAAAUCAUGAUGAUGACUCCUUCACUUCCAACAAAAGGAAACCUCAAACCCUGAUGCCACAUUGUGUUGGUUUAAAUUUUGACUCUCAGCUGAUGUGUGAUGUUUCACAAGCUACUAUAUUUCCCUGCUCCUAAAAAUUUUGCAUUAUAUAAAGGAGAUGAGAAUAGCACCUGGAUUACAAGUAUGCAAGUGUAUUGAAUAUGAAUAAACACUUAGAAUUUUAGGGGACAGGAUACGGAUUAUAGGAAGCAUUCUAAUGAUGUUUAUCUCAUUUAAAAUGUAGACUUGGAGAGUUUCUUGAGAAACUUAUGUAUGUGUAUGUUACUGGGGGAGGAGGCGUGUAUGAUGGAGGCCAAGGAACUCACUCUUUAUGGGCUUUUACAGCAUAGCUGGCAAGGAAGAAAAUCCACCACCCGUAACCUUAGGAAGAGGGCAUCUGUGUUUGCCUGGAGCGAUUGCCAAGUGACAUUUGUGGAGGAACUGUUUUCCUUCUUUCAUUCCACAGAAAUGUCUUGACAGCCUACUCUAAGUCUCAUUACUGUGUUUUCCUUCCUUGGUGAAACUUAUGUUUAUAGGGAUUUGUCCUCCUUGUUUACCUGUGCAUGAUCUAUCUUUCUGCACAAGAGCAGAGACACUCUGAGUGCAAUGUUGCCUGUAGUUCUAUCCCCAGGGCUGAAAACCAAGCAUCACACAUCAUGGGUGGGUGAUAAAAAUUUUAUGAAUGAAUAAGGUUCACGAAUGUGUUAGUAUUCAUGGAGGUUGCUGUGUAUUAGCCCACCUCUGGAUGGGAAGAGGUAUGUAGAAAUGUUAAUUCCAGCUCAAGAUUAGAUUAGAAAGACUCAGCAUGUCCACACCCUCCCAAUGAAGAGCAGCUGUCCGAGUUGCCUGUGAGGUUAGUACACUAAGCACCAGCACAAUAUUGACUGGUUUGUUUUUCCUCAAAUAGACUCAUGUAACAUCUGGGCUCAUAUAGAGACAAGCCAUGUUAUACUAGGGCGAUGUAUAACUCAGAUGUUUGCAUUCUGUGUAUAUCAGAUUGAAUAUGCCUCUCCUUCUGUGUGGAUGAUAUGCUUAGUGCUAACAGCACUUACUAGAAAAUUAACUUCACCACUCAAUGACUAAGUUCAUAUUGGCAUUCAAAUAUCCAAGUGUUCUCCUAGAUGUCUCUUCAGAAAAACAAAAGAGCAAAAAUGUCAAAACAGUGUUGUCUCCUAAGAUUUCAUUUACAUUGUUUGUAUUUUUUAGGUUGAAAAUAGGUAUAGAUGACUUUCCUCCACUGUACAAUGCUUAAAAAUUUUUCUCUACCAUUCUAAACAAGAGAAUACUAGGACACCCUUUAUGGAUCUUUAAAAGGCCUUCAAAGUUGCAUUUAAAUUUGUUUUGUAUCACACUGAAAGUUGUAUCAGGCUUUCCUCUGAUCAGAUUCUCACUCUUUUGUGAUUAGUAAUUUGUCAAACAUGAAAAAUAAGUGCCAGACAUUGUAAUAAGAAUCUCAAAUCUGGUUUGGCAGUCCUGAGAGGCAGGCAUUACUAUCUGGCUAUGGAAACUAUGUCAAACCUUAAGUGAGCUGCCCAAUUCUUGCAGCUAAUAAGGUGAUAUAACUCAAAAAAUCAACCUGGGUCUCUCAGACUGUAAAAUGGGUGCCCUUAAGUAAUACACAAUAAUGAUUUUUGCUGUUUGCUUUUCUUAGUCCAUUAGUUCACUUGAUUUUCAAAAUCCUAACCAUUGAUCGCUUUUCUUUAUUAUACUUUGUUUUUUCAGCCACUUCUGACUGUUUAAAAUUAAACAGAACAUCGCAAAUGCAGAAAUUAAGCUAUUUGGUAAGCACUCAGGUAGGACUAUCUAAAUCCUCUGGGGCUUUUGGAAGUUCUCUUCUACCCCAUUCCACUCCUCUCAAAGAUUUCCUCUGCUUAUCUUCAAGGACAUCUCCACCCAGCCUGAACCCCCAAACACCCGUUCCAGCCAAGUCAGGGCUGUUCCUCUCACACUCACCACUUAGGGUGCUGUAUUGUGGGUCAUCACAAACCGCGACAAGAAUGACUUUGCCCAGAUUUCCAAAGUUUUGAUUAAAAUUCUUAACAAAAUCUAAAACAAUAUUCAGUUUUGUCCUUUGUAAAAUUGCAGCAGUGUCACUAGACUCAGUUAUCUGUGGCUUGACUGUUUCCUCUAAUUCUUCUGUGAACUUACCCUGAGAACUAUUUUGAAUACUUCUGAACUUUUCUCCCUUCUCCAUAACUUCUUUUCUCUGACAAUUUUUUGUCCUUCAGUUCAAAACACGAGCAUGUCAUGAUAAAUUUUUCAGCGACAUUCAUAAAAAAGGAGCUAUGUAUCCCCGCCAAACAUUUUGUAAUUUUAGUGUCAUUUCUUCUCUACUAAU
This is a non-coding RNA of Oryctolagus cuniculus (rabbit), 19274 nucleotides long. NCBI's taxonomy places the organism in Eukaryota, Metazoa, Chordata, Mammalia, Lagomorpha, Leporidae. The record is from RefSeq and is a predicted model, not a curated record.